GAAUACACAUAAAACAGAAAUGAAGUUUUUUUAAUAGAAAUUCUUAAUUUUUAUGACUUUCUCAUCAUGAUUAUUAUAAGAAAUGGUAGGAAAUGAAUUUUGCACCAUGUCCAAUAUUUU
Long non-coding RNA from Octopus sinensis (East Asian common octopus), 120 nucleotides. RefSeq lists it as uncharacterized. Lineage: Eukaryota; Metazoa; Mollusca; Cephalopoda; Octopoda; Octopodidae. The transcript has 2 exons. The record is from RefSeq and is a predicted model, not a curated record.